Molecule: unclassified non-coding RNA, 830 nt
Filed under: uncultured Inocybe
Lineage: Eukaryota; Fungi; Basidiomycota; Agaricomycetes; Agaricales; Cortinariaceae
Description: sequence contains ITS1, 5.8S rRNA gene and ITS2
Rfam family: 5.8S ribosomal RNA (bases 308-461)
Source: RNAcentral
AAGUCGUAACAAGGUUUCCGUAGGUGAACCUGCGGAAGGAUCAUUAUUGAAUAAACUUGAGCAGGCUGUUGCUGUCUCCUCACUCCAAAGGGGGUGUAUGUGCACGCUUGCCAUCUUUAUUUCUCCAACUGUGCACAUAUUGUAGACCUGGAAAGUUGAUUGAUUAUUUUUCGAGUUGGGACUGCUGUGCUCUUUGAAAAGAAUCAGCUUUGCCUUGCAUUUUCUGGGUCUAUGUCACUUUUACAAACCUUUGAAUCUGUUUAGAAUGUUGAAUCAGGUCCUUAUGUACCUAUAAAGUUAUAUAUACAACUUUCAGCAACGGAUCUCUUGGCUCUCGCAUCGAUGAAGAACGCAGCGAAAUGCGAUAAGUAAUGUGAAUUGCAGAAUUCAGUGAAUCAUCGAAUCUUUGAACGCAUCUUGCGCUCCUUGGUAUUCCGAGGAGCAUGCCUGUUUGAGUGUCAUUUAAGUUCUCAACCACAACGGAUUCUUUUCUGGUGUGGCUUGGAUGUGGGGGGAAUUUUUUUUGCAGGCUUUGGAAAUGAAGUCGGCUUCCCUGAAAUGCAUUAGUAGUAUCCGAGCAGAAAAACUACUACAGGUGUGAUAACUUAUCUAUGCCUUGGUAUUCUGCAUGAAUGGAUUGCACUGCUUACAACAAAUCUUUUUGACAAAUUUGACCUCAAAUCAGGUAGGACUACCCGCUGAACUUAAGCAUAUCAAUAAGCGGAGGAAAAGAAACUAACAAGGAUUCCCCUAGUAACUGCGAGUGAAGCGGGAAAAGCUCAAAUUUGAAAUCUGGCAGUUCUUGACUGUCCGAGUUGUAGUCUAGAGAA